This 106-nucleotide small nuclear RNA is filed under the name Octodon degus (degu). The record is from RNAcentral. Lineage: Eukaryota; Metazoa; Chordata; Mammalia; Rodentia; Octodontidae.
GUGCUCACUUCGGCAGCACAUAUACUAAAAUUGGAAUGACACAGAGGAAUUAGCAUGGUCCCUGCCCAAGAAUGACACGCAAAUUUGUGGAGCAUCCCAUAUUUUC